ACGAACGCUGGCGGCGUGCUUAACACCUGCAAGUCGAACGGUGAAGCGCCUUCCUUUUUGGUGGGUGUGGAUGAGUGGCGAACGGGUGAGUAACACGUGAGUAACCUGCCCCCUUCUUCUGGAUAACCGCAUGAAAGUGUGGCUAAUACGGGAUAUUCUGGGUCUGUCGCAUGAUGGGUCUGGGAAAGAUAUUGUUUCGGUGGGGGAUGGGCUCGCGGCCUAUCAGCUUGUUGGUGGGGUGAUGGCCUACCAAGGCGGUGACGGGUAGCCGGCCUGAGAGGGUGGACGGUCACACUGGGACUGAGACACGAACCAGACUCCUACGGGAGGCAGCAGUGGGGAAUAUUGCACAAUGGGCGCAAGCCUGAUGCAGCGACGCCGCGUGAGGGAUGGAGGCCUUCGGGUUGUGAACCUCUUUCGCCAGUGAAGCAGGCCUGCCUCGUUUGUGGGUGGGUUGACGGUAGCUGGAUAAGAAGCGCCGGCUAACUACGUG
RNAcentral lists this ribosomal RNA (493 nucleotides) under uncultured bacterium. RNAcentral describes it as "partial 16S ribosomal RNA". It matches the Rfam family "Bacterial small subunit ribosomal RNA", at positions 29 to 507 of the family's 1533-position model. The record is from RNAcentral.